GUCCCGGAAGCGCAAUAGAUAGCGCGUUGGACUUCAAAUCGAAAGGUCGUGGGUUCGAAUUCCACCUGGAAUG
This 73-nucleotide transfer RNA is filed under the name Trichonephila inaurata madagascariensis. It matches the Rfam family "tRNA". From Rfam's summary of the family: Transfer RNA (tRNA) molecules are approximately 80 nucleotides in length. The record is from Rfam by way of RNAcentral. Lineage: Eukaryota; Metazoa; Arthropoda; Arachnida; Araneae; Nephilidae.